This 115-nucleotide small RNA is filed under the name Caenorhabditis brenneri. RNAcentral describes it as "sRNA CBN34134". The record is from RNAcentral. Lineage: Eukaryota; Metazoa; Nematoda; Chromadorea; Rhabditida; Rhabditidae.
GUACGCCCUUCUAUUACAGGUCCCCCAAACCUCCCUGGGCCGUGUGGUCGGUUCCGUGUGCGCAUUGAUGGGUGUCCUAACUAUUGCUCUUCCAGUUCCAGUUAUUGUUUCAAAC